CCUACGGGAGGCAGCAGUGGGGAAUAUUGCACAAUGGGGGAAACCCUGAUGCAGCGACGCCGCGUGAGUGAAGAAGUAUUUCGUUAUGUAAAGCUCUAUCAGCAGGGAAGAAAAUGACGGUAUCUGAGUAAGAAGCACCGGCUAACUACGUGCCAGCAGCCGCGGUAAUACGGAGGGGGCAAGCGUUAUCCGGAAUUACUGGGCGUAAAGGGCGCGUAGGCGGGAGAGCAAGUCCGAAGUGAAAGGCGGGGGCUUAACCCUCGGACUGCAUUGGAAACUGUUCUGCUGGAGUGUAGGAGAGGUAGGUGGAAUUCCUGGUGUAGCGGUAAAAUGCGUAGAUAUUAAGAGGAACACCCGUUGCGAAGGCGACUUACUAGACUGUAACUGACGUUGAGGCGCGAAAGCGUGGGGAGCAAACAGGAUUAGAUACCCUUGUAGUC
RNAcentral lists this ribosomal RNA (440 nucleotides) under uncultured bacterium. RNAcentral describes it as "partial 16S ribosomal RNA". It matches the Rfam family "Bacterial small subunit ribosomal RNA", at positions 338 to 795 of the family's 1533-position model. The record is from RNAcentral.